Molecule: long non-coding RNA, 1589 nt
Filed under: Linum usitatissimum (flax)
Lineage: Eukaryota; Viridiplantae; Streptophyta; Magnoliopsida; Malpighiales; Linaceae
Description: long non-coding RNA (LUSI_LNC004038)
Source: RNAcentral
UUACAUCACAGGGUAAAAUUAUGUACAUCACAGGGUAUUUGGCUGCUGCAAACAAUAUGACAUGAUUUAUGUGUGGUCUUGGCAGGAACUUAGAAUCAACCAACAUAUACUCAAUAACGAUAAAGAAAGUGAAAGACCAGUAAUUACUUAAAAAUCUGGUUCCAUUCCAUCAUACUGACUAAUGAUUCAAAAUCACUUAGAUAACAUAUUAAACUUCAUAGUAUCUGCCGUUGGCUGCAUUGUAUCUUCAUAUUCACAUCUUCUGUUGGUUGGAUUGUAUCUUCAUACCCUCUCCAAGCAGUGAAAAUCAAAAGCGAGUUAUUUCAUUUGCGCUUGUUCUUGCAGGGCAGGUUAUUAACAGUUCAGAGCUUCGACAUAUAAGAAUCAUAAGAAUACCAUUUUAGUUCCGUUCGAUUCAUUUGUUCAAAUCUGUAACAUAUUCAAAAGAAGCUUGAGAAUGGGAACUCAGAAACUUGACUCAAGAACCAUUCCAAGCUUCACCCAUAAAGCUGUCAAAUAUUCUAUAGAAAGACUCCGCAAUGUGUUGUUUGUGAAAAUAUGGUAGACCGUUGUUAUUGGUUCAUAGUAUACAAAUAUAUCUGAAGCACUAUAACUAAUUUCAAGCAUCUCAUGAACUCAAUGAAAAUGACGAGGUGCAACGAAAUUUGAUAGCUACGAUGACUACAAAGACAGGAAAAGUACAGCACGGAUUUAGUAUUACUUUCAGAGGUUUAUUAUAACAGAACAGCAAAAGAAUGGUGAAUCACUACCAAGACUAUCGUAAAUGAUCUUCACAACUCUUACUAAAAUACCAAGACAGAUAGACUAUUCAUGAUCUUCAACCCAGACGAAGAAGCAAACCUCUAAUGUUGAAAAGAAUACUGAAUCACCAUCAUCGAAUUUCAUUACAUUUCGGUGGUGGCCAUAGGAAUUGUAGGACAUGGAUUGGUUAACAACAUAAAGAUUAAAGAAGGGAAGAGUAUAUAAUAGAGUCUUGUAAAUUUUUUUAAAAAUACUAACCAUUUCACUUGGGAUCAUUAUACCUGGGAAUAUUACCACCAUUGAUUAAGUUGCAACUUCUGAAAUCGAACGGCUGACGAAGAAGAAUGCGAUUUAAGAGGGGAGAAAGGCUUUUGACCCACAACCUCCACGUUCUUGAGUCAACAAUAGUACCGAUUAUGCAGAUCUCUCAAGAAAUAGUUCUUGCAAAACCCAGUUCAUAAAACAUGUUGUUUAGCCCUCGCAAGCCCCUUCGCGGAUCGAUCUCUUAAUCCAAAACGCUCGAUCCCUUCUCCAUUAACACCUGCUCGAUCACCUCGGCGACCACGACCGAUAAUAUUACGCACCGCUACUUCCUCAUAUUUGCCGGAUUAUUUGUACUAAUGACGAUCGCAGAUUUCAUCGCUGGUUGUUGUUGUUGCUAUAUCGAUGGUAGUUGAUUGCUGAUGACAUGGAUGGAGGAGAAGAUGGCAGGGGUUGUGAAAAGUGUAAAGGAUGAGGAAACGACGGUGAAAUCAUGAUUGGGAUAUUUGAGGGAAUAUGAGGCAAGGAGCAUGGAAACUGAUGGGUCAUCAAAAUGAGAUAUUGGC